AUGCUUCACCAGCUUAUGUGCUAAAAUUGGAAAGAUGAGAAGAUCAUCAUGGUCUCUGGGAAAGAAUGACAAGCAAAUGCAUGCAGUGUCUCAUAUUUUU
Molecule: small nuclear RNA, 100 nt
Organism: Myotis lucifugus (little brown bat)
Lineage: Eukaryota; Metazoa; Chordata; Mammalia; Chiroptera; Vespertilionidae
Source: Ensembl